GAUGAACGCUGGCGGCGUGCCUAAUACAUGCAAGUCGAGCGAACAGACGAGGAGCUUGCUCCUCUGACGUUAGCGGCGGACGGGUGAGUAACACGUGGAUAACCUACCUAUAAGACUGGGAUAACUUCGGGAAACCGGAGCUAAUACCGGAUAAUAUAUUGAACCGCAUGGUUCAAUAGUGAAAGACGGUUUUGCUGUCACUUAUAGAUGGAUCCGCGCCGCAUUAGCUAGUUGGUAAGGUAACAGCUUACCAAGGCAACGAUGCGUAGCCGACCUGAGAGGGGGAUCGGCCACCCUGGAACUGAGACACGGUCCAGACUCCUACGGGAGGCAGCAGUAGGGAAUCUUCCGCAAUGGGCGAAAGCCUGACGGAGCAACGCCGCGUGAGUGAUGAAGGUCUUCGGAUCGUAAAACUCUGUUAUUAGGGAAGAACAAAUGUGUAAGUAACUAUGCACGUCUUGACGGUACCUAAUCAGAAAGCCACGGCUAACUACGUG
This 497-nucleotide ribosomal RNA is filed under the name uncultured bacterium. Its description in RNAcentral is "partial 16S ribosomal RNA". It matches the Rfam family "Bacterial small subunit ribosomal RNA", at positions 28 to 507 of the family's 1533-position model. The record is from RNAcentral.